UAGGGAAUAUUGGACAAUGGGGGCAACCCUGAUCCAGCAAUGCCGCGUGUGUGAAGAAGGUCUUCGGAUUGUAAAGCACUUUCGACGGGGACGAUGAUGACGGUACCCGUAGAAGAAGCCCCGGCUAACUUCGUGCCAGCAGCCGCGGUAAUACGAAGGGGGCUAGCGUUGCUCGGAAUGACUGGGCGUAAAGGGCGUGUAGGCGGUUUACACAGUCAGAUGUGAAAUCCCCGGGCUUAACCUGGGAGCUGCAUUUGAUACGUGUAGACUAGAGUGUGAGAGAGGGUUGUGGAAUUCCCAGUGUAGAGGUGAAAUUCGUAGAUAUUGGGAAGAACACCGGUGGCGAAGGCGGCAACCUGGCUCAUUACUGACGCUGAGGCGCGAAAGCGUGGGGAGCAAACAGG
Molecule: ribosomal RNA, 404 nt
Filed under: uncultured Acetobacter sp.
Lineage: Bacteria; Pseudomonadati; Pseudomonadota; Alphaproteobacteria; Acetobacterales; Acetobacteraceae
Description: bacterial SSU rRNA
Rfam family: Bacterial small subunit ribosomal RNA
Source: RNAcentral